CAUUUGGCAUUAUUACGUACAUAAGCUCUUUUCUAGAAACUUCGAUGAUGUAACGUCACGAAGUGGUGAUGACGCAAUAGAAGAACCUGCUUCAACCUGGUAUGUGACGUCACAGAAGAUCAAACCGACCUUGAUACGAAAGAAGAAUGAAGAAAAGUCAGCGAAUAAAGCUGCCGAAGGAAAACGCAAGACGAAGAACAAAGACGAAGACGCCGAUAAAGGGUACACG
Molecule: non-coding RNA, 229 nt
Organism: Ciona intestinalis (vase tunicate)
Lineage: Eukaryota; Metazoa; Chordata; Ascidiacea; Phlebobranchia; Cionidae
Source: RefSeq, a predicted model, not a curated record